This 347-nucleotide long non-coding RNA is filed under the name Prunus persica (peach). RNAcentral describes it as "long non-coding RNA (PPER_LNC006668)". The record is from RNAcentral. Lineage: Eukaryota; Viridiplantae; Streptophyta; Magnoliopsida; Rosales; Rosaceae.
CCAUUCAAAGUUUGGUACCUUAAAUUACUGCUUAUACCCAUGUGAGCUGCCCAAGUGAGCGCAUUCAAUAAAGUUGGUGGAGGCUUGUUUGGUGUCUCGAAAUUCGGGUCCAUCUUCUUCCUCAGUUUGAUCAACCCAUUUGACAAGGCAGUCCCAGCUAGCCCAGCAGCGAACCCAACAGCUGCAAAGACGGCUCCCUUGUAAACGAAUGUCCCCAAACGGUUCACCAACCCAUAUGAACCCGGUUCGAACAUGUGGCUAGCAGGGCAACUGGCGAAGAUCGAAGGCAGGGUGGCAGCUGAAGCAGACAAAGUGGGUGCUAACAAAUACAUCAGUGUGAAAUUGAG